RNAcentral lists this ribosomal RNA (835 nucleotides) under uncultured Pseudomonadota bacterium. Its description in RNAcentral is "bacterial SSU rRNA". It matches the Rfam family "Bacterial small subunit ribosomal RNA", at positions 35 to 886 of the family's 1533-position model. Lineage: Bacteria; Pseudomonadati; Pseudomonadota. The record is from RNAcentral.
GCUGGCGGCAUGCCUAACACAUGCAAGUCGAACGAGAAAGUUCCUUCGGGAGCGAUUAAAGUGGCGCACGGGUGAGUAACGCGUAGACAAUCUGCCCUUCAGUCUGGGACAACUUUUCGAAAGGAGAGCUAAUACCGGAUGACAAUGUAACACAUAAGUGUCACAUUUGAAAGCUCCGGCGCUGAAGGAGGGGUCUGCGUCCCAUUAGCUAGUUGGUAAGGUAAAGGCUUACCAAGGCGACGAUGGGUAGCGGGUUUGAGAGGACGAUCCGCCACACUGGAACUGAGACACGGUCCAGACUCCUACGGGAGGCAGCAGUGGGGAAUAUUGCACAAUGGAGGCAACUCUGAUGCAGCAAUGUCGCGUGAGUGAAGAAGGCCCUUGGGUCGUAAAGCUCUUUUAUGGGGGAAGAUGAUGACGGUACCCCAAGAAUAAGCACCGGCUAACUACGUGCCAGCAGCCGCGGUAAUACGUAGGGUGCGAGCGUUGUUCGGAAUUACUGGGCGUAAAGGGCGCGCAGGCGGAAUAGCAAGUCGGAGGUGAAAGCCCGGGGCUCAACCCCGGAGGGUCUUUCGAAACUGCUAAUCUAGAGAGGGUCAGGGGCCAGCAGAAUUCUUGGUGUAGAGGUGAAAUUCGUAGAUAUCAAGAGGAAUACCGGUGGCGAAAGCGGCUGGCUGGGGCCACUCUGACGCUGAGGCGCGAAAGCGUGGGGAGCAAACAGGAUUAGAUACCCUGGUAGUCCACGCCGUAAACGAUGAGCACUGGAUGUCCGGAGGGUUCGACCCUUCUGGGUGUCUCAGCUAACGCAUUAAGUGCUCCGCCUGGGGAGUACGGU